AAAGAGCAUCUGUUCCCUCCAUUCUCCCAGCUCCAUCGGCUGCCAACCUAGGGCCAUCGUCUGCCUCCAUCACCCCUCCGCCCGCCCGCCUACCCACCCAAUCCCAAACGGGUGCUGGAUCAGGUGCUGAAUCCGGCUGCCUCCUCGGGUCCUCCUUCCCCUUCCCUCUUAGGCAUGGGGAGUGGAGCAACAGACGGAGAGUGGCAUGAAGACACAAAGGAGGAAGCACACCAUUGCCAAGACCCCAAGGAAGAAGGAUGGAAAGCGCUGGCAGUCCUGCCUGGCCCCCAGCCAGUUCCCUGCUGAAGAUGGCCAGAUCCCCUUGUCUGGUCUGUAUAUGCCACUUUUGCUGGGGUGGAAGGAGGGAAGGGCUGGCUUGCUGAGCUGGGCUCUAGAAUGGGAAGGGUACCUUUCUGCAGAUCC
Homo sapiens (human) is the source of this 423-nucleotide long non-coding RNA. Ensembl annotates it as ZFHX2 antisense RNA 1. Its record names the gene ZFHX2-AS1. NCBI's taxonomy places the organism in Eukaryota, Metazoa, Chordata, Mammalia, Primates, Hominidae. The record is from Ensembl.